This 1436-nucleotide ribosomal RNA is filed under the name Enterococcus mundtii. RNAcentral's name for it is "bacterial SSU rRNA". It matches the Rfam family "Bacterial small subunit ribosomal RNA". Lineage: Bacteria; Bacillati; Bacillota; Bacilli; Lactobacillales; Enterococcaceae. The record is from RNAcentral.
UACAUGCAAGUCGAACGCUUCUUUUCCCACCGGAGCUUGCUCCACCGGGAAAAGAGGAGUGGCGAACGGGUGAGUAACACGUGGGUAACCUGCCCAUCAGAAGGGGAUAACACUUGGAAACAGGUGCUAAUACCGUAUAACAAUCGAAACCGCAUGGUUUCGUUUUGAAAGGCGCUUUACGGUGCCGCUGAUGGAUGGACCCGCGGUGCAUUAGCUAGUUGGUGAGGUAACGGCUCACCAAGGCCACGAUGCAUAGCCGACCUGAGAGGGUGAUCGGCCACAUUGGGACUGAGACACGGCCCAAACUCCUACGGGAGGCAGCAGUAGGGAAUCUUCGGCAAUGGACGAAAGUCUGACCGAGCAACGCCGCGUGAGUGAAGAAGGUUUUCGGAUCGUAAAACUCUGUUGUUAGAGAAGAACAAGGGUGAGAGUAACUGUUCACCCCUUGACGGUAUCUAACCAGAAAGCCACGGCUAACUACGUGCCAGCAGCCGCGGUAAUACGUAGGUGGCAAGCGUUGUCCGGAUUUAUUGGGCGUAAAGCGAGCGCAGGCGGUUUCUUAAGUCUGAUGUGAAAGCCCCCGGCUCAACCGGGGAGGGUCAUUGGAAACUGGGAGACUUGAGUGCAGAAGAGGAGAGUGGAAUUCCAUGUGUAGCGGUGAAAUGCGUAGAUAUAUGGAGGAACACCAGUGGCGAAGGCGGCUCUCUGGUCUGUAACUGACGCUGAGGCUCGAAAGCGUGGGGAGCAAACAGGAUUAGAUACCCUGGUAGUCCACGCCGUAAACGAUGAGUGCUAAGUGUUGGAGGGUUUCCGCCCUUCAGUGCUGCAGCUAACGCAUUAAGCACUCCGCCUGGGGAGUACGACCGCAAGGUUGAAACUCAAAGGAAUUGACGGGGGCCCGCACAAGCGGUGGAGCAUGUGGUUUAAUUCGAAGCAACGCGAAGAACCUUACCAGGUCUUGACAUCCUUUGACCACUCUAGAGAUAGAGCUUCCCCUUCGGGGGCAAAGUGACAGGUGGUGCAUGGUUGUCGUCAGCUCGUGUCGUGAGAUGUUGGGUUAAGUCCCGCAACGAGCGCAACCCUUAUUGUUAGUUGCCAUCAUUUAGUUGGGCACUCUAGCAAGACUGCCGGUGACAAACCGGAGGAAGGUGGGGAUGACGUCAAAUCAUCAUGCCCCUUAUGACCUGGGCUACACACGUGCUACAAUGGGAAGUACAACGAGUCGCGAAGUCGCGAGGCUAAGCUAAUCUCUUAAAGCUUCUCUCAGUUCGGAUUGUAGGCUGCAACUCGCCUACAUGAAGCCGGAAUCGCUAGUAAUCGCGGAUCAGCACGCCGCGGUGAAUACGUUCCCGGGGCCUUGUACACACCGCCCGUCACACCACGAGAGUUUGUAACACCCGAAGUCGGUGAGGUAACCUUUUUGGAGCCAGCCGCCU